GGUCAUUUAGAGGAAGUAAAAGUCGUAACAAGGUUUCCGUAGGUGAACCUGCGGAAGGAUCAUUACCGAGUGCGGGCCCUCGCGGCCCAACCUCCCACCCUUGUCUAAACACCUGUUGCUUUGGCGGGCCCACCGGGGCCACCUGGUCGCCGGGGGACAUCGUCCCCGGGCCCGCGCCCGCCGAAGCGCCCUGUGAACCCUGAUGAAGAUGGGCUGUCUGAGUACUAUGAAAAUUGUCAAAACUUUCAACAAUGGAUCUCUUGGUUCCGGCAUCGAUGAAGAACGCAGCGAAAUGCGAUAAGUAAUGUGAAUUGCAGAAUUCCGUGAAUCAUCGAAUCUUUGAACGCACAUUGCGCCCCCUGGCAUUCCGGGGGGCAUGCCUGUCCGAGCGUCAUUUCUGCCCUCAAGCACGGCUUGUGUGUUGGGUGUGGUCCCUCCGGGGACCUGCCCGAAAGGCAGCGGCGACGUCCGUCUGGUCCUCGAGCGUAUGGGGCUUUGUCACUCGCUCGGGAAGGACCUGCGGGGGUUGGUCACCACCAUAUUUUACCACGGUGGACCUCGGAUCAGGUAGGAGUUACCCGCUGAACUUAAGCAUAUCAAUAAGCGGAGGA
This 611-nucleotide ribosomal RNA is filed under the name Talaromyces purpureogenus. Its description in RNAcentral is "eukaryotic LSU rRNA". The stretch from base 241 to 394 matches the Rfam family "5.8S ribosomal RNA". Lineage: Eukaryota; Fungi; Ascomycota; Eurotiomycetes; Eurotiales; Trichocomaceae. The record is from RNAcentral.